Molecule: ribosomal RNA, 600 nt
Filed under: uncultured Alphaproteobacteria bacterium
Lineage: Bacteria; Pseudomonadati; Pseudomonadota; Alphaproteobacteria
Description: bacterial SSU rRNA
Rfam family: Bacterial small subunit ribosomal RNA
Source: RNAcentral
CAUGCAAGUCGAACGAAGUAGCAAUACUUAGUGGCAGACGGGUGAGUAACAUGUGGGUAUCUGCCCUUUGGCCCGGAAUAACACGAGGAAACUUGUGCUAAUACCGGAUAAGUCUUUACGGAGAAAGCUUUAUGCACCAUUGGAUGAGCCCGCACUUGAUUAGUUUGUUGGUGGGGUAAUGGCCUACCAAGACUGUGAUCAAUAGCUGAUUUGAGAGGAUGAUCAGCCACAUUGGGACUGAGACACGGCCCAAACUCCUACGGGAGGCAGCAGUGGGGAAUCUUGCACAAUGGAGGAAACUCUGAUGCAGCGAUGCCGCGUGAGUGAAGAAGGCCCUUGGGUUGUAAAGCUCUUUCGUCGGGGAAGAAAAUGACUGUACCCGAAUAAGAAGGUCCGGCUAACUUCGUGCCAGCAGCCGCGGUAAUACGAAGGGACCUAGCGUAGUUCGGAAUUACUGGGCUUAAAGAGUUCGUAGGUGGUUGAAAAAGUUGGUGGUGAAAUCCCAGAGCUUAACUCUGGAACUGCCAUCAAAACUUUUCAGCUAGAGUAUGAUAGAGGAAAGCAGAAUUUCUAGUGUAGAGGUGAAAUUCGUAGAUAUUA